Molecule: ribosomal RNA, 429 nt
Filed under: Pseudomonadota bacterium
Lineage: Bacteria; Pseudomonadati; Pseudomonadota
Description: Proteobacteria bacterium partial 16S ribosomal RNA
Rfam family: Bacterial small subunit ribosomal RNA
Source: RNAcentral
UGGGGAAUAUUGGACAAUGGGCGAAAGCCUGAUCCAGCCAUGCCGCGUGUGUGAAGAAGGUCUUCGGAUUGUAAAGCACUUUAAGUUGGGAGGAAGGGCAGUAAGCGAAUACCUUGCUGUUUUGACGUUACCGACAGAAUAAGCACCGGCUAACUCUGUGCCAGCAGCCGCGGUAAUACAGAGGGUGCAAGCGUUAAUCGGAAUUACUGGGCGUAAAGCGCGCGUAGGUGGUUCGUUAAGUUGAACGUGAAAGCCCCGGGCUCAACCUGGGAACUGCAUCCAAAACUGGCGAGCUAGAGUAGGGCAGAGGGUGGGGGAAUUUCCUGUGUAGCGGUGAAAUGCGUAGAUAUAGGAAGGAACACCAGUGGCGAAGGCGACCACCUGGGCUCAUACUGACACUGAGGUGCGAAAGCGUGGGGAGCAAACAGG